GUGCUGGUGCUGCUGCGUAUAACAGCGAGGCAGGUCGUGUGGGUUAGUCCAGUGUGGGUGGGAAGGACGUGGACACUGUGUCGUGCAUCAGGGGUCAACGACUUCACUCUUCCACAGCAAAAGUAUUCAAGGAAUCUACUGAUCAUUGGUUAAGAUGACCCCGUGUGGGAGGAGCCUGGUGUGGAUGACCCCGUGUGGGAGGGGCCUGGUGUGGAUGACCCCGUGUGGGAGGGGCCUGGUGUGGCCGCCUCCACUGCUGCUGCUGCUCCUGGUGGCCCUCUGCUCCACUCCAGGUCUUUCAGGCAGUAUGAGGCGAGGGGAGCCGAUGGACAGUUCCUACUCCUCUUUGCUCCAGUACCUCACCCUCUUGAUGUCACCUGGGAGUAGCGAGACUUUUUCAGGAACCAGCAUCGCGGCAUCAGAUGACAGCAUCACUCCGUCAGGAACCAGCAUCGCGCCGUCCGAGACCAGCACUUGCCCAUGGAUGCUGGACCUCGUGUGCUGGAUAUUGUCCUCACGAAACACUUUCCAGUACUCGAGACAGCUCGACCUUCCAUUGCGACCCUGACAUUAACCCUGCAGGAGCUGCUGCAGGAGUUGCUGCAGUAGCUGCUGCAGCUGCAGGAGAUACGAGAGUAUAUUGUGAUAAAGUUAUACGAUGCUUUACCUCGGAGAUUCCACAGACCAUUGAAUGUGACUUCAAAAUGGAUUUUGGAAAAAAACAGAUCCUAUCCUUCCCCUCUGUGGAUAGAAUCAAUUUCCCCAGGUGCUGUGUGACUCCUGUGGGUUUAGCGCACCCUCUUCAGCAGUGUAAAAAAUGUAAUUUUGAAAAAAAAAAUUCCCUCUAUAAAAAAUAAAUCUUGGCAAAUAUUGUAAAUUAUGCCAAGAAUAACAACAACAAGAAGUGAAAGAAAAAAUGAAAUUAAUACAUAAGAUCAUGUAAUAAAAUUUAUGUGAAGUCCUGUAACGUACAAAAUUUUGGACCUGGAAGCUGUUGUUGACGGAAGAUAAAAGUGUUUAAUAGACUCGUUAAACAAACACUAGGAUAUAUUUCUUAGAAAACGGUGGGGUCCUGGAACCUUGAUCACUUCUAACUUACAGAGGUUAAAAAGGACUGUAUUUACAGGCGGAGAGUGAGGUGUGAGUGACGCAUGGUGACCUGAGUGAGGUGUGAGGGACGCAUGGUGACCUGAGUGAGGUGUGAGUGACGCAUGGUGACCUGAGUGAGGUGUGAGUGACGCAUGGUGACCUGAGUGAGGUGUGAGUGACGCAUGGUGACCUGAGUGAGGUGUGAGUGACGCAUGGUGACCUGAGUGAGGUGUGAGGGACGCAUGGUGACCUGAGUGAGGUGUGAGGGACGCAUGGUGACCUGAGUGAGGUGUGGGUGACGCAUGGUGACCUGAAGAAUGACAUGCUGGGAUGACGGGAUGACAAGAACAUAAGAAAGAAGGAACACUAUAGCAGGCCUACUGGCCCAUGCGAGGCAGGUCCAAUUCUCCCACCGGCUUAAGCCGGUGGGAGAAUUGUGACCAGACCUAGUCAGGUCUGGUCACAUUCACUUAAGGAAUUCAGUUCAAUUCAAUUCAGUUCAAGUUUAUUCUCUAUAAGGGUUCAAUGUGGAGUUUACAGGAUUUGGAUAUUGUGUGGUUUAUAUGUUAUAAAAUACUAAUUACAGAGGGGGCCACUAGGACAUCUAGCAUGGCUAGGCAUUUCGAGCAGACUUAGAUUAAUUCUUAACAUUAAAUCCUUACAGAUUAUGGUAUUAAGGCUAAGUGACUACAUAAUUUGUGAGUUUAGCAAUGUGAAUGUUUUUGUUUUAGCACAAUACAAAGUGUCUAUAUUGGAGUAUCAUAGACAAACUUUUGACUAGUUAGGAUUCAUAAUUUUAAGAUUAAGAUUAGUAUUUGUGUUUAUAAUCAGUGGGUGAGUAUAAUUGUGAACCACCAGGUGGUUAUCAUUAGUUAGUUGUCGUGGUGGAUCAGGGAGAUAAGAUGUUUUCUAACUGUAGUUUUGAAAGUGAUGAAUGUGUCUGCAGUUCUAGAGUUUUCAGGUAGGGUGUUCCAGAUUUUAGGUCCUUUGAAAUACAAUGAAAUUUUGUAAAGGUUUAGUCGGACACGAGGAAUGUCAUAGAGAUGUUUGUGUCUGGUGUUAUGCCUGUGGGUUCUGUCACAACUAUCAAGAAAGCGUUUUAAGUCAAGGUUAAUAUUGGAAUUUAAGGUCCUGUAGAUAGAUUGCACAGUAGUAAGUGUGGAUGUUCUGAACAGGGAGUAAGUUUACAUAAGAACAUAAGAACAUAAAGGAGGAACACUGCAGGAGGCCCGUUGGCCCAUACUAGGCAGGUCCUUUACAAUUCAUCCCACUAACAAAACAUUUGCCCAACCCAAUUUUCAAUGCCUCCCAAGAAAUAAGCUCUGAUGUGAAAGUCCCACUCAAAUCCAACCCCUCCCACUCAUGUACUUAUCCAACCUAAAUUUGAAACUACCCAAAGUCCCAACCUCAAUAACCCAACUAGGUAGACUGUUCCACUCAUCAACUACCCUAUUUCUAAACCAAUACUUUCCUAUGUCCUUUCUAAAUCUAAACUUAUCUAAUUUAAAUCCAUUACUGCGGGUUCUCUCUUGGAGAGACAUCCUCAAGACCUUGUUAAUAUCCCCUUUAUUAAUACCUAUCUUCCACUUAUACACUUCGAUCAUGUCUCCCCUCAUUCUUCGUCUAACAAGUGAAUGUAACUUAAGAGUCUUCAAUCUUUCUUCAUAAGGAAGAUUUCUAAUGCUAUGUAUUAAUUUAGUCAUCCUACGCUGAAUGUUUUCUAACGAAUUUAUGUCCAUUCUGUAAUAUGGAGACCAGAACUGAGCUGCAUAAUCUAGGUGAGGCCUUACUAAUGAUGUAUAAAGCUGCAGUAUGACCUCUGGACUUCUGUUGCUUACACUUCUUGAUAUAAAUCCCAGUAAUCUAUUUGCCUUAUUACGUACGCUUAGGCAUUGCUGUCUUGGUUUAAGGUUGCUGCUCACCAUAACCCCCAAGUCCUUUUCGCAAUCUGUAUGGCUAAGUUCUACAUCAUUUAACUUAUAAGUACUAGGGUUAUGGGCACUCCCAAGCUUCAGAACCUUGCAUUUAUCUACAUUGAACUGCAUCUGCCACUUUUCUGACCAAGAAUAGAGUGUUUAAAUCCUCCUGAAGUUCCAUAACAUCUACGUUUGAAUCAAUUAUCCUACCUAUCUUUGUGUCAUCGGCGAAUUUGCUCAUAUCACUAGUAAUUCCCUCAAGAUCAUUGAUAUAUAUUAUAAACAACAACGGGCCCAAGACUGAUCCCUGUGGAACGCCACUUGUUACAGAUCCCCACUCGGAUUUAACCCCAUUUAUGGACACUCUCUGCUUCCUGUCUGUGAGCCACGACUCGAUCCACGAGAGCACUUUUCCCCCAAUGCCAUGAGCUGCCACUUUCUUUAACAGUCUAUGGUGCGGAACUCUAUCAAAAGCCUUACUAAAAUCUAAGUAAAUAAUAUCAAAUUCUUUAUCGUGGUCAACAGCCUCAAAAGCUUUACUGAAGAAAGUUAAUAAAUUAGUUAGACAAGACCGGCCUCUUGUGAAUCCAUGCUGAGUAUCAUUAAUCAAGAGUGGGGGGGAGGGGGGUGUUGCCAGGGAUGGGAUUUAGUGAUUCUUCUUACUGCGGAAAAGACCCGGGCCGGCAAAUGUACCGGAGAAUCUUACAAUAGUAAGUCAGAAGUGAUCAAGGUCCCAGCAGCCAAGUCUUCUAAGAAGUAUAUCUUAGUGUUUGUUUACGUGUCUUUCUAAACCAAUUUACCGGUACCUAUUACCAAGGUUGAUACUAGAAAAUAAAAAUAAUGAAGCAGCGUGUGAUAACCCUUGUGUUGUUGUGACACAGACACAGACACAGACACAGAUGGCAUCGAACUUUUGGUACAGAAAAGCCUAAGAAACAGUAAAUGAACUACAGGCGUAAUUUGUACCACACUUUCUUAGUCAGGGGAAAUUUAAUACUAAGGUGAGCAAUUAAAUGUAUGGAAGAUCGCCCCUGGUGGGCGAAACGUCUCU
Long non-coding RNA from Cherax quadricarinatus, 4056 nucleotides. RefSeq lists it as uncharacterized. The record is from RefSeq and is a predicted model, not a curated record. Lineage: Eukaryota; Metazoa; Arthropoda; Malacostraca; Decapoda; Parastacidae.